RNA transcript from Myotis daubentonii (Daubenton's bat), 2033 nucleotides. It is a transcript of the gene named apolipoprotein L2-like, with no coding region annotated. The record is from RefSeq and is a predicted model, not a curated record. The transcript is spliced from 3 exons. Lineage: Eukaryota; Metazoa; Chordata; Mammalia; Chiroptera; Vespertilionidae.
UAAAUUUGGGGGGACAGUUCUGUCCAUAACACCAGGUGACUCACCAAAAAUUCCCCCGAGUUAAAAAAUAAGUCCCCCAUGCCCUGACUGGUUUGGCUCAGUGGAUAGAGCGUCAGCCUGUGGACUGAAGGGUCCCGGGUUCGAUUCCAGUCAAGGGCAUGUACCUUGGUUGCAGGCACAUCCCCAGUAGGGAGUGUGCAGGAGGCAGCUGAUUGAUGCUUCUCUCUCAUCGAUGUUUCUAACUCUCUUUCCCUCUCCCUUACUCUCUGUAAAAAAUCAAUAAAAUAUAUUUAAAAAAAAAUAAGUCCCCCAGGUGACAGCUGCUCAGGAAAAUGAACAUUUAACCACUUUGUUUAUACUCAAUUCCAUUUUUGUUCUACCAUGAUUUCUUCUAACCUUCUUUUUUCUUUUCAUCUAGAGGGCAAAGACUUUGUUGAUGCCAUUGAGUAUUUAAUGGACCCAAGGAACAAAGAGAAACUGCAGUGCCUGCUGAGUGAUGAAUCCUGGGAGAGAUUUGUGGCUGUGGCCAAGCUGUCCAGGGAUGAGGCAGAUGCACUCUAUGCAGACUUGCGCGAGCUGGAAGCACUCAUGGCCGAGGAGGACAAAGACAUGCCCUCAGCAGAGCAGCUGCAUGGGGAGAGCUUUAUGAAGGAGUUUCCUCAAGUGAAACAGGACCUUGAGGAACGCAUAGGAAAGCUCUAUGCACUUGCGGAUGAGGUGGACAAGGUGCACAGGGACUGCACCAUCUCUAAAGUGGCGGCCUCUUCCACCGGCGCUGUGUCUAGCAUCCUGACCAUCGUUGGCCUGUCUCUGGCACCUGUGACACUAGGAGCUAGUUUGGUGCUUUCGGCAACUGGGAUCGGACUGGGGGCAGCAGCUGCUGUGACCGGUGUGACCACUGGCAUCGUGGAAGCCUCAAAGAACGCGUCAGCUAAAGCAAAAGCCAGGCGCCUAGUGCCAACCGGCAGUGACACAGAGAAGGUGGUCGAGAAGGUUCUAAGUCGCAGCACAACCAAAAUUGCUUUCUUAGCACCGAAGUGCUUCCAAUCCGUGAAAAAUAUUGUGAAGAAUGCCCGUGCCUUCAAUCUGGCCAAAUCCAAUCCUGUCUUAGCAGCUGAGGCCACGGGCGUCAUGAGCACGGGGGCAGUGUCAGCCCAAGGUGGCAAGCAGCUGCAGAAAGCUUUUGGAGGCACUGCUCUGGCCAUGAGCAAAGGAGUCAGAAUCGCUGGGAUCGCUGCUGCAGGUGUUUUCCUUCUCAUGGAUGUAGUGAACAUAGUGAGAGAGUCAGUGCACUUACAUAAGGGCGCAAAGGCUCGGUCAGCUAAAGAGUUGAGGCAGCAGGCCCAGGAGCUGGAGAGGAGGUUGGAAGAACUCACCCGCAUUCACACAAGUCUACAGGAGGACCUGACUUCAUGAUCCCCAGACAGAGCAGGGAGCAGGGGUGUGUGGGAGACAAAGGCAUGGACUUACCUUGUUAGGAAGCAUGGUAACCUCCAUCUUGGGUAAAACUGCCCUUUAAAAUUUUAACCCUGCUAUUCUGGCUUCUGUAAACGUUUGUGUGCUUAAAUAAUAGGGAAAAAUAAGACUACUCCCAUUCCAGAGAGGCCAUAAGCUAUGCCCCAGACAGAGUAGUCAGUGCUGGCGCCAGGCCAGGGCUUGAGAUAUGGUCUCACAGCCCUGGCCCAGCACCAGGACUUCUUCUCAGAGGGUCCGGAAGUCUUGUUCCAAAUUCGGAAGACAAAAAGCUGAAAAACGUAUAAAUAGAAAGGACUUCCACCAUAUUGUGCCCCAGAAUUUGAGAAGCAAUAUUUCCUGUGGGCCUGCUAGUGUUAGCGAAAUGAAAAAGACUCCAAAUAAAUUUGGCUUAUUGAUUAAGGCAGUGGUUCUCAACCUUGGCUGCACAAUAGAAUCACCUGGGAAUCUUUUAAAAAUCCUGAUUUCUGGGCCUCAUCCUCCAGAAAUUCUGUUUCUUUGUUACUAAUGUUGUGGACUCACCCCAUAACAAAGAAACAGAAUUUCCGGAGGAUGAGGCC